Molecule: long non-coding RNA, 1239 nt
Filed under: Bos grunniens (domestic yak)
Lineage: Eukaryota; Metazoa; Chordata; Mammalia; Artiodactyla; Bovidae
Description: lncRNA (ENSBGRG00000004771.1)
Source: RNAcentral
CUGAGUGCUGAAAAAUUGAUGCUUGUGAACUGUGGUAUUGGAGGAGACUCUUGGGAGUCCUUGGACUGCAAGGAGAUCAACCAGUCCAUCCUAAAGGAAAUCAGUCCUGAUUAUUCCUUGGAAAGACUGAUGCUGAAGCUGAAACUCCAAUACUUUGGCCACCUGACUCCUUGGAAAAGACCCUGAUGCUGGGAAAGAUUGAAGGUGGGAGGAGAAGGAGAUGACAGAGGAUGAGAUCACCAACUCAAUGGACAUGAGUUUGAAUAACCUCAGGGAACUGGUGAUGGACAGGGAAGCCUGAUGUGCUACAGUCCAUGGGGUCACAAAGAAUUGGACACGACUGAGUGAAGGAACUGACCUGAACUGAACUGAAUCCUCUAGUUCAAAGGAACUGUCUAAGGGAUAAAAGUCCCCAGUGAAAGAACCUUUGUAAUCCUAGGCUCUACUUUGGAAAGCCCUAAACAAAUGUUUCUGGUGGAAAAGAAGGGGCAUAUUUUCACAGCAAGAGGAAAGAGAUUUCCCAAAUAGAGUACUCUGACAAUUAAGUCCCAAAGAUGAUAGAGCCCUGGCUAAGAAAUGAUGACAUUUCUGGCCUUUGGCCUGUGACUCAGUGAGGAACCAGUGUGUGAUUAGGGUUGUGACCAAGGCCUAGAUAAUCUUUAUCCCUUGCCUGGACAAUGGGAAUUCUUGGUCUAGGGCUGGUUUCACUGUGUGUUACUGUUGUUUUGGGAAUGUAUGCAGCAGCAUGACACUGGCACCAAAUCAAGAACUGGCCCAGGGCAGGCAAGCUGGUGAACGCAUUUCAGCAUGACACCUCUCCAUGACUCCUAAAGGCUUUGCCCACUUGGGCAGAAGAUGAACCAGAAGGCCAAGCCAGAUCUGAUGGUGUUUUCUCUGGCAGGAUACAUGAGGGAAAGAACACCAAGGAGCACAUCCCAUCCCAGCCAGACUCCACUGACUCCUCAUCGCGUUCUUCUCUGGACACAACAAAGUGUCAGGCAGAACAGCCAUAGCAUACUAUGCUCAAGUCUCCACUCACGGUUUAUAAGGCAGAUCAAGGCAGCCACCCUAGACCAAGGCAACACUGAACAGCCCCUAAGAAAGUAUCCUGUGAUGAACUGAAUUGCAUAGACAACUAAAUAUGUGUGUCUACAGUGUAUUCUUUAUCAGAUCUGUGCAUUCAGUCUGAAAUAAAAUAUUUGUAGGUUAAUCAACAGAGUGCCAUUUCUAAUUCAUCAA